AAAUUUGGAGGGGGCGCAGGCUGAUCCAGCAAUGCGCGUGUGUGAAGAAGGCCUGCGGGUUGUAAAGCACUUUCGGUGGGGAAGAAAAGGGUAGGGUGAAUACCCCUGCGUCUUGACGUUUCCCACAGAAGAAGCACCGGCUUACUCCGUGCCAGCAGCCGCGGUAAUAUA
This 171-nucleotide ribosomal RNA is filed under the name uncultured Thiocapsa sp. Its description in RNAcentral is "partial 16S ribosomal RNA". It matches the Rfam family "Bacterial small subunit ribosomal RNA", at positions 359 to 527 of the family's 1533-position model. Lineage: Bacteria; Pseudomonadati; Pseudomonadota; Gammaproteobacteria; Chromatiales; Chromatiaceae. The record is from RNAcentral.